CUGAAAUAUUUUUCAAAGACGCCAUUUUCUUUGCUCGCGAUGCGAAGUGCAUAUGGAAUUAAAACAGCGAAAUAAAGUGUUUAGUCUUACUUACAAAAUAUGUUUUGUAAUAUCAUAUGGUUUUAUAACGAUAUUUAUGUGCUGUAUGCGCCUAAACGUUUCUCAGAGACAUUUCCUUUCACUCGCAACGCGGAACAGACGAGGGCUUUUUUUCGAAACGGGAAAAUCCGAAAAGCGAUAUUUCAUUUCACCAGCGAAGCGAAGUAGACAGGGAAGUUGGUUUUAACAAGGAAAACACCGACAGUAACAGUUAAGUGUUUUACCUCAUUUACUUAUUUUAUAAGAUAAUAUUACUAUAUGACGAUAUUUAAUUGCUGCACACCUGAACAAGCCUAACGUUAACGGUUUCUCACAGAUUUGAAUUGCUCUGCAGUGCGCAGAUGCGGAGUUCACUAGGAAACACCAGAAGUAAGUUAACCGUUUUAAAUCUUACCUCAUUUAAAAUGUGUUUUAUAACGUCAUAUUAUUUAUAGUGAUAUCUGUCUGCUGUAAGUUACACUCCUAAACUUUUUCUCAAAGAUAUUUUCUUUCACUCGCGAUGCUCUGGAGGAGAUGGGGAAGUUGGUUUUAACAAAGAAAACACCAAAAGUAAGUGUUUUAUUUAUUUUACGAUGUGUAUUUUAUAAAAUAAUAUCACUUUAUGACGAUAGUUAUAUGCUGUGCGUGCCAAAACAAUCCGUAACAUUUUCACAGAUGAAAUCUGAAUUUGAAGGGAAACGCCAGAAGUGUUUUUUAACGUUAACUUAACUUACCUCAUUUAUAAUACAGUAACUUAUUUAUUUUGCAACGUCAUAAUGUCUAAUCAAACCACUGUAAAACUGCUCAAAUAUAAAUGGCAAUAUAAGUAAAUUGUUCUUGUUUGUCUCAUGAACAAUUUUUGUGAUUUCAUUUCAUGAAAUGAGUUUUCAUGAUGUUGUGUCCUUAUAUUGGAUUUGAGUGCUGUUUUCCUUGAAUUAAUUUGAAAAUAACACUCUUCAGUAAACACAAACUCUCUAUACUGAGUGAGUUACAUUCUUCAUCAUUCAAAGUGAUUUUGUGUCCUCACAAGUCUUGGAGUAUGGCACAUGAGUUGCAGUUAACUACUUUGUUUAGACACUUUAUUAUGUUAUUAUUUUUAAGCAUUAUGUUUUGUAUUUAGCAAAAGGGAGUUGUAUGCGUUUGGAAUUACAAUUUUAAAUAAACUAUUUAUUUAAUAUUGUUACAGAUGGUUCAUGCUGGCUUAACAGAAAAAUCAAAAGGAGAUGAUUUGCUUGAAGAGUAUGAAGCCACCAAUAUAUGAUUGUCCAACCUCAACGCAGAGAGAUCAGUAUGCACUUGGAAUUGUGACUGUCUCUGUCGUUAGAAGACCCAUUUUCUAGGGAAGGUGUGUGAUGCUGCAAAUAGGAGUGGAUAUCUUGCUUGGCUGAAAACUGCUGAGAAACGCAUCUUGUCGUGCUGAAAAAAAAGAAGUCUAGAAGAGAGAAAAAGACUAUUCUCUCCAAGGAGGUCCAAACACAGACAUUGAUUAGUGAGCAUUAACAUGUAUUCUGCAUUUAUGGUAAUGAAUGGAAUGCUGUUGUUUAACCUGAUAAAUGUCAGCAUUAUAAAUCUUAUGACAUUAAGAGUACAUAUGGACCAAAUAAGAAUGUUUUUUGUGUCUUUGCACUGAUUUGCUUUGACAUUAUGAUGUUUAAUUGUUGUAAGGCCAUGCUCUUUACAUUGAAUUUUAGAAUUUUACAUUUAGAAUUUAUUUAUUUGUUUUAUUUUGAAUUGCUUUGAAUUGAAACAUUGAAAGUGAAGACAUUUUGGUGCAGGGAAAAAAAUUACAAUGUUUCAAUAAAAUAAAUAAAUGUAAAC
Molecule: long non-coding RNA, 1896 nt
Organism: Cyprinus carpio carpio
Lineage: Eukaryota; Metazoa; Chordata; Actinopteri; Cypriniformes; Cyprinidae
Source: Ensembl